Molecule: non-coding RNA, 45 nt
Organism: Trichobilharzia regenti
Lineage: Eukaryota; Metazoa; Platyhelminthes; Trematoda; Strigeidida; Schistosomatidae
Source: Rfam
AUCCAGCUGACGAGUCCCGUAUAGGACGAAAUGCGCAUCCUGGAU